Molecule: ribosomal RNA, 431 nt
Filed under: uncultured bacterium
Lineage: Bacteria
Description: partial 16S ribosomal RNA
Rfam family: Bacterial small subunit ribosomal RNA
Source: RNAcentral
AACGAACGCUGGCGGCAGGCUUAACACAUGCAAGUCGAGCGCCCCGCAAGGGGAGCGGCCGACGGGUGAGUAACGCGUGGGAACGUACCUUUUGGUUCGGAACAACUCCGGGAAACUGGAGCUAAUACCGGAUAAGCCCUAACGGGGAAAGAUUUAUCGCCGAAAGAUCGGCCCGCGUCUGAUUAGCUAGUUGGUGGGGUAACGGCUCACCAAGGCGACGAUCAGUAGCUGGUCUGAUAGGAUGAUAAGCUACACUGGGACUGAGACACGGCCCAGACUGCGACGGGACGCAGCAGUGGGGAAUAUUGGACGAUGGGCGCAAGCCUGAUACAGCCAUGCCGCGUGAGUGAUGAAGGCCUUAGGGUUGUAAAGCUCUUUUGUACGGGAAGAUAAUGACUGUAACGGAAGAAUAAGCACCGGCUAACUUCGUG